CCUACGGGAGGCAGCAGUGAGGAAUAUUGGUCAAUGGCCGUGAGUCUGAACCAGCCAAGUAGCGUGAAGGAUGAAUGCCCUAUGGUUUGUAACCUUCUUUUAUAUGGGAAUAAAACGUUCCACGUGUGGGUUUUUGUAUGUACCCUAUGAAUAAGCAUCGGCUAACUCCGUGCCAGCAGCCGCGGUAAUACGGAGGAUGCGAGCGUUAUCCGGAUUUAUUGGGUUUAAAGGGUGCGUAGGUGGAUUGUUAAGGCAGUGGUGAAAGUUUGUGGCUCAACCGUAAAAUUGCAGUUGAAACUGGAAGACUUGAGUACAGUAGAGGUAGGCGGAAUGCGUGGUGUAGCGGUGAAAUGCUUAGAUAUCACGAAGAACUCCGAUUGCGAAGGCAGUUUACUGGGCUGCAACUGACACUGAAGCACGAAAGCGUGGGGAUCAAACAGGAUUAGAUACCCCUGUAGUC
RNAcentral lists this ribosomal RNA (460 nucleotides) under uncultured bacterium. RNAcentral's name for it is "partial 16S ribosomal RNA". It matches the Rfam family "Bacterial small subunit ribosomal RNA", at positions 338 to 795 of the family's 1533-position model. The record is from RNAcentral.